AGAAGGUGGAAGUGAUAUUAUGCCAGGUCCAGACUUAGGCCUUAGGAGGCCUGGCAGUUUCCAUUUUCACCCUCUUGGGAUCCAGCCACUAUGAAACCAAGUUCACCUGCUUUAUUGGAGAGAGAAAUGACCUAGAAGAUGAAAGACAGCAAAGGGAGAGCAGGAUGCCCAGCCAGCCACCAGCCAUUCUGACCCCUUCAGCUGAGGCACUGCAUGGGCCCCAGGACCUCCAGCGUCAAUGUUGUGGGAUGAUGGGUGACAGAGCCAAAGCAUCGCCAUCUUGGACAAGCACGGUCAUUCUGAAGUUCCCCUUGAUCAAAAACUGCCUAAACCCAAAGGAUAUCAGCCUGAUGGCUAAGGUCAGCAUGACCAUAAACCAUAAAUAACAUCUCUGACCAGGAACAUUCCAAACCCCUCCAUGAGACAUGCCAGCCCUGAGAUAACCUCCCCUCCGGCCAGAAAGAUGUCAGACCCAAGAUAACCUCCCCUCCGACCAGAGACAUCCCAACCCUGCCAUAAACUUCUCCCCCACACAGAAACAUUCUGAGCUUGUAAUAAGCCCCCUCAUCCUAAAACCAAUAUAUACUCUUAGUCCGUAAGAGAAAGUGCUCCUGAACAAAAUUGGCCAGAAGCCCCUCUCCGGCUUAUUUUCUCUAAAAUACAUCUGUCGUUAAAUUGAGCCACAGUUCGUGUUUCUUCCCUCUUUCUUUAACUCUUACAAUGGGAAGCAAACUUUUUUAGUGGGUUAUUAGGAAUAAUAGUGAAAAGCAUAAUUCUCCUCUCCAGGCCUUGCUUCCUGGACCCACACAUCUCACCUGUGGGGAAGAUGGAACCAUAUAUUGGCCACUGGUUUAAUGUACAAGAUGUGUCUCCAGUCCCAAUGGUAGACAUCCUAUAGCCAAGACUCCAUCCAAUUGCCUGACCUCCACAUGUCCCUACUCUGACUGGAACCUUGUGGGUAGUUUAGGUCUCUGAGGAUCAGUCAAGCUCAGAGCAAGAUUGAAUAACCCCUGGAAGGUGUGGAUAUUCCUAUUUCCCCAGGAUCAGAGGCAUAUUUACCAUAAAGCUAAUGAUGCUUAUGCUUCAAGACUGCUCACUUACUAAAGCCCUGGUGUUAACAUGAUCAUAUGCAUUUAUAAAAUUUGCAAACAUAAAAAAUUUUUUAGUUGGGCUUUAUUUUUUUUUUAAUAUUUUUCAUUUUUCGAGAUGGAGUUUUGCUCUUGUUGCCCAGGCUGGAGUGCAGUGGCACGAUCUUGGCUUGCCACAACCUCUGCCUCCCAGGUUCGAGGGAUUCUCCUGCCUCAGCCUCCCGAGUAGCUGAAAUUAGAGGCAUGUGCCACCAUGCCCGGCUAAUUUUGUAUUUUUAGUAGAGAUGAGGUUUCUCCAUGUUGGUCAGGCUGGUCUUGAACUCCUGACCUCAGGUGAUCCGCCCACCUCGGCCUCCCAAAGUGAUGGGAUAACAGGCAUGAACCACCGUGCCCCACCUGGACUUUAUUUUUUAUUAUUUAUUGAUUUUUUGGAGACAGAGUCUUGCUAUGUCGCUCAGGCUGGAGUGCAAUGGCAGCACUGCCUCCUGGGUUCAAGAGAUUCUCACCUCUCAGCCUCCCGAGUAGCUGGGACUGCAGGGGCACACCACCAAGCCUGGCUAAUUUUUGUACUUUUUUU
RNAcentral lists this long non-coding RNA (1665 nucleotides) under Homo sapiens (human). RNAcentral describes it as "non-protein coding lnc-PHLDB1-1:2". The record is from RNAcentral. Lineage: Eukaryota; Metazoa; Chordata; Mammalia; Primates; Hominidae.